RNAcentral lists this ribosomal RNA (751 nucleotides) under uncultured marine bacterium. Its description in RNAcentral is "bacterial SSU rRNA". It matches the Rfam family "Bacterial small subunit ribosomal RNA", at positions 56 to 780 of the family's 1533-position model. The record is from RNAcentral.
UGCAGUCGCACGAGAACGCUUCAGCUUGCUGAAGUUAGUAAAGUGGCGCACGGGUGAGUAACGCGUGGGUAAUCUACCCCCGAAUUGGGGAUAACAUUGCGAAAGCGAUGCUAAUACCGAAUAAUAUCUUAAGAACCUCGGUUUUUAAGAUCAAAGGUGGCCUCUACAUGAAAGCUUCUGUUUGGGGAUGAGCCCGCGUACCAUUAGCUUGUUGGUAGGGUAAUGGCCUACCAAGGCUACGAUGGUUAGCUGGUCUGAGAGGAUGAUCAGCCACACUGGAACUGACACACGGUCCAGACUCCUACGGGAGGCAGCAGUGAGGAAUUUUGCGCAAUGGGGGAAACCCUGACGCAGCAACGCCGCGUGAGUGAUGAAGGCUUUCGGGUCGUAAAGCUCUGUCAAGUGGGAAGAACCCACAUGGUGAUAAUACCGCCAUGUGUUGACGGUACCACUGAAGGAAGCACCGGCUAACUCCGUGCCAGCAGCCGCGGUAAUACGGGGGGUGCAAGCGUUAUUCGGAAUUACUGGGCGUAAGGAGCGCGUAGGCGGUCUUUUAAGUCAGGUGUGAAAGCCCGGGGCUCAACCCCGGAAGUGCACUUGAAACUAAGGGACUUGAGUAUGGGAGAGGGAAGUGGAAUUCCUGGUGUAGCGGUGAAAUGCGUAGAUAUCAGGAGGAACACCGGUGGCGAAGGCGACUUCCUGGACCAAUACUGACGCUGAGGCGCGAAGGCGUUGGGAGCAAACAGGAUUA